AUGGCGUGCUCGGGGACGAGGUCGGGAAGAGGGAUUCGCUGGGCACAAGCUCUGGAGGAGGUGCCACAGAGAAAGUGGCACCAGUGUCAGGGUCGAGAUCAGUGCCAGGACAAAGGUGGCUGCAUCGGGAUGAAGGUAGAUUUCAGUGGAGGGGUUGAGAUGGAGCACGCGGAUCACCGAAACCAUCCCGAAAGACAUUUUUGCCACACGAAUGAAACCGCCUCGGUCCACGUUUCCCCAGCGCCCGCGCCCGUAUAUAAAUUGCCGCCCCACACCCUCCGCACCCGUACGUCGUCCCCAGCCGUUCGAGUUCAACCACCCAAAUCCCGCAGCGCAAGUCGAGGAACCGACCGAGGAAGGCGAGAUGGCGCGCACGAAGCAGACCGCCCGCAAGUCCACCGGCGGCAAGGCGCCCCGCAAGCAGCUCGCCACCACCAUCGCGGCGAGGAAGUCGGCACCCACCACCGGCGGCGUGAAGAAGCCGCACCGGUACAGGCCGGGAACGGUGGCCCUGAGGGAGAUCCGCAAGUACCAGAAGAGCACGGAUCUGCUCAUCCGCAAGCUCCCGUUCCAGCGCCUCGUGAGGGAGAUCGCGCAGGACUUCAAGACGGACCUGCGGUUCCAGAGCCACGCCGUGCUGGCCCUCCAGGAGGCCGCCGAGGCGUACCUCGUCGGGCUCUUCGAGGACACCAACCUCUGCGCCAUCCACGCCAAGCGCGUCACCAUCAUGCCCAAGGACAUCCAGCUCGCCCGCCGCAUCCGUGGCGAACGCGCAUAAAACCCUAGAUGGCCGAUCAUCGUGCCGUCCUCGUAAGCUAGUUAUUAGUUGAUUUGCUUCUGAUUUUCAGCCAUGUUACUCGCUCGUGAUAGGUAACUUUUAUCUCGUCCUCAAUAUCUCUCCGGUUAUCAUACAAUAUAUAUAUAUAUACUAGUUGCAACAAAGACGUAUCUGCUGCUUAUUAUUUUGGUUUGCCCUAAUAAAUGUGAAACGAAUGCUGUAUUGGAAAUUAUCGAUAUGAAUUCAUAGUAAUUGUGAAA
Hordeum vulgare subsp. vulgare (domesticated barley) is the source of this 1038-nucleotide RNA transcript. It is a transcript of the gene named histone H3.3-like, with no coding region annotated. The record is from RefSeq and is a predicted model, not a curated record. NCBI's taxonomy places the organism in Eukaryota, Viridiplantae, Streptophyta, Magnoliopsida, Poales, Poaceae. The transcript is spliced from 3 exons.